CCAAUAGCGUAUAUUAAAGUUGUUGCAGUUAAAAAGCUCGUAGUUGAAUUUCGGGACCAAUCUGCCGGUCGUGCCUCCGGUACGCACUGGUUUUAUUGGUUUCUCCCUUCUGACGAACCAUGAUGUCAUUAAUUUGGUGUCAUGGGGAAUCAGGACUGUUACUUUGAAAAAAUUAGAGUGUUUAAAGCAGGCUCACGCUUGAAUACAUUAGCAUGGAAUAAUGAAAUAGGACGUUUGACCCUAUUUUGUUGGUUUCUAGGAUCGACGUAAUGAUUAAUAGGGAUAGUUGGGGGCAUUAGUAUUCAAUUGUCAGAGGUGAAAUUCUUGGAUUUAUUGAAGGCUAACUACUGCGAAAGCAUUUGCCAAGGAUAUUUUCAUUAAUCAAGAACGAAAGUUAGAGGUUCGAAGGCGAUCAGAUACCGCCCUAGUUCUAACCAUAAACGAUGCCAACUAGCAAUCCGCGUGAGUUCCUCAUACGACUCCGCGGGCAGCUUCC
Molecule: unclassified non-coding RNA, 496 nt
Filed under: uncultured Glomus
Lineage: Eukaryota; Fungi; Glomeromycota; Glomeromycetes; Glomerales; Glomeraceae
Description: bacterial SSU rRNA
Rfam family: Eukaryotic small subunit ribosomal RNA
Source: RNAcentral